Molecule: ribosomal RNA, 425 nt
Filed under: uncultured bacterium
Lineage: Bacteria
Description: partial 16S ribosomal RNA
Rfam family: Bacterial small subunit ribosomal RNA
Source: RNAcentral
GUGGGGAAUAUUGGACAAUGGGCGAAAGCCUGAUCCAGCCAUGCCGCGUGAGUGAUGAAGGCCUUAGGGUUGUAAAGCUCUUUCAGUAGGGAAGAUAAUGACGGUACCUACAGAAGAAGCCCCGGCUAACUUCGUGCCAGCAGCCGCGGUAAUACGAAGGGGGCUAGCGUUGUUCGGAUUUACUGGGCGUAAAGCGCACGUAGGCGGAUUGGUCAGUUAGAGGUGAAAUCCUGGAGCUCAACUCCAGAACUGCCUUUAAUACUGCCAAUCUAGAGACCAGAAGAGGUGAGUGGAACUCCUAGUGUAGAGGUGGAAUUCGUAGAUAUUAGGAAGAACACCAGUGGCGAAGGCGGCUCACUGGUCUGGUACUGACGCUGAGGUGCGAAAGCGUGGGGAGCAAACAGGAUUAGAAACCCCUGUAGUCC